AUUGAACGCUGGCGGCAGGCCUAACACAUGCAAGUCGAGCGGAUGAAGGGAGCUUGCUCCUGGAUUCAGCGGCGGACGGGUGAGUAAUGCCUAGGAAUCUGCCUGGUAGUGGGGGAUAACGUCCGGAAACGGGCGCUAAUACCGCAUACGUCCUGAGGGAGCAAGUGGGGGAUCUUCGGACCUCACGCUAUCAGAUGAGCCUAGGUCGGAUUAGCUAGUUGGUGGGGUAAAGGCCUACCAAGGCGACGAUCCGUAACUGGUCUGAGAGGAUGAUCAGUCACACUGGAACUGAGACACGGUCCAGACUCCUACGGGAGGCAGCAGUGGGGAAUAUUGGACAAUGGGCGAAAGCCUGAUCCAGCCAUGCCGCGUGUGUGAAGAAGGUCUUCGGAUUGUAAAGCACUUUAAGUUGGGAGGAAGGGCAGUAAGUUAAUACCUUGCUGGUUUGACGGUACCAACAGAAUAAGCACCGGCUAACUUCGUG
This 484-nucleotide ribosomal RNA is filed under the name uncultured bacterium. RNAcentral's name for it is "partial 16S ribosomal RNA". It matches the Rfam family "Bacterial small subunit ribosomal RNA", at positions 30 to 507 of the family's 1533-position model. The record is from RNAcentral.